UACAGAGGUCCCAAGCGUUGUUCGGAUUCAUUGGGCGUAAAGGGUGCGUAGGUGGCGCCGUAAGUCAGGUGUGAAAUCUCGGGGCUUAACUCCGAAACUGCAUUUGAUACCGCGGUGCUUGAGGACUGGAGAGGAGACUGGAAUUUACGGUGUAGCGGUGAAAUGCGUAGAUAUCGUAAGGAAGACCAGUGGCGAAGGCGGGUCUCUGGACAGUUCCUGACACUGAGGCACGAAAGCUAGGGGAGCAAACAGG
RNAcentral lists this ribosomal RNA (253 nucleotides) under uncultured bacterium. RNAcentral describes it as "partial 16S ribosomal RNA". It matches the Rfam family "Bacterial small subunit ribosomal RNA", at positions 524 to 776 of the family's 1533-position model. The record is from RNAcentral.